AUGGAUUUGUGGCUGAUUUGGGUUUUCCUUAUUGCUCUUUUAAAAGGUGUCCAGUGUGAGGUGCAGCUGGUGGAGUCUACGGGUGGCCUGGUGAAGCCUGGAGGGUCCCUGAAACUCUCCUGUGUAGCCUCUGGAUUCACCUUCAGUGACUACUGGGUGGGUUGGGUCCGCCAGUCUCCCGGGAAGGGGCUGGAGUGGGUUGGAUAUAUUAAAUAUGAUGGCAGUUACACAAACUAUGCACCAUCCGUGAAGGGCCGGUUCACCAUCUCCAGAGACAAUGCCAAGAACACUCUGUACCUGCAAAUGAACAAUGUGAAGUCUGAGGACACCGCCACUUAUUACUGUGCUAGAUACACAGUGAAUGAUCUCAGUAUGAACCCGGACAUAAACCUCACUGUGAGGCCGCUCACGGCCACCAGACAGCGCACAGCACGCACAGAAUAUAGGUUCAUCCCACAAACUAUAAAGGCAUAA
Molecule: non-coding RNA, 474 nt
Organism: Cricetulus griseus (Chinese hamster)
Lineage: Eukaryota; Metazoa; Chordata; Mammalia; Rodentia; Cricetidae
Source: the annotation of a RefSeq genome assembly